RNAcentral lists this long non-coding RNA (541 nucleotides) under Coturnix japonica (Japanese quail). RNAcentral describes it as "lncRNA (ENSCJPG00005018897.1)". Lineage: Eukaryota; Metazoa; Chordata; Aves; Galliformes; Phasianidae. The record is from RNAcentral.
GAUGUGCUCUGAUUAGUACAAUAUUUGGGGUCUCAGCAGUUUUACUGAAAAAUCCCAGAACCACCUUUUGUGGGGCUCAGAAAGGAGACUGUGAUGAGAACUGCGCUCAUCCUUCCUGCAUCCAGACCACCAGAGAAGAGGGUCUGUACAACACAGGGAGAGCUUGUUUCUAGCACAACUACAUGCUGUCACCUGUGAUACACGCCAGGCUCUGCAAAGCAGAACUAGGUCUAAAGGACUGCAAGUCAUUUUGUCCAUCUAGGAAGAAAGAUAGGCCUAAAUGGGUUCAGGGCUGUGAUGGGGACUGUCACACUGCAGACUGGGAGUGGAGGCCAGUGGAGAUCAAAUCCAGUACAAGCAGGGCUGGGACAGGCUGUGGGCCAGGCAGGGAGAAUCUCGUCAGCUGACAGCAAAUAACUCCCCAACACUGAGAAGGACUCUUCAGGAUGUAUUUCUUCUUUUCAUUCCUCCUUUGAAGAACAUGUCCCUUCUGUACCAUCCUCCUUGGUCUUCUCCAAAGAAUUUUUUUUCUUGGACUCAG